AUACGGAGGGUGCGAGCGUUAAUCGGAAUUACUGGGCGUAAAGCGUACGUAGGCGGUUGGUUAAGUUAGAUGUGAAAGCCCCGGGCUUAACCUGGGAACUGCAUUUAAAACUGGCGAACUUGAGUUGAGUAGAGGGGAGUGGAAUUUCAGGUGUAGCGGUGAAAUGCGUAGAGAUCUGAAGGAACACCAGUGGCGAAGGCGACUCCCUGGACUCGAACUGACGCUGAGGUACGAAAGCGUGGGUAGCAAACGGGAUUAGAUACCCUAGUAGUCC
Molecule: ribosomal RNA, 274 nt
Filed under: uncultured bacterium
Lineage: Bacteria
Description: partial 16S ribosomal RNA
Rfam family: Bacterial small subunit ribosomal RNA
Source: RNAcentral